RNAcentral lists this ribosomal RNA (468 nucleotides) under uncultured bacterium. RNAcentral describes it as "partial 16S ribosomal RNA". It matches the Rfam family "Bacterial small subunit ribosomal RNA", at positions 28 to 507 of the family's 1533-position model. The record is from RNAcentral.
GACGAACGCUGGCGGCGUGCUUAACACAUGCAAGUCGAACGGAAAGGCCCUGCCUUUGUGGGGUGCUCGAGUGGCGAACGGGUGAGUAACACGUGAGUAACCUGCCCUUGACUUUGGGAUAACUUCAGGAAACUGGGGCUAAUACCGGAUAGGAGCUCCUGCUGCAGGGUGGGGGUUGGAAAGUUUCGGCGGUUGGGGAUGGACUCGCGGCUUAUCAGCUUGUUGGUGGGGUAGUGGCUUACCAAGGCUUUGACGGGUAGCCGGCCUGAGAGGGUGACCGGCCACAUUGGGACUGAGAUACGGCCCAGACUCCUACGGGAGGCAGCAGUGGGGAAUAUUGCACAAUGGGCGGAAGCCUGAUGCAGCAACGCCGCGUGCGGGAUGACGGCCUUCGGGUUGUAAACCGCUUUCGCCUGUGACGAAGCGUGAGUGACGGUAAUGGGUAAAGAAGCACCGGCUAACUACGUG